UCUAGGUUAGGUGAUGGGUUCUAGGUUAGGUGAUGUGUUCUAGGUUAUGUGAUGUGUUCUAGGUUAGGUGAUGUGUUCUAGGUUACGUGAUGUGUUCUAGGUUAGGUGAACAUGAUUCUACGUACAGUGUGAUGUGUUCUAGGUUACGUGAUGUGUUCUAGGUUAGGUGAUGUGUUCUAGGUUAGGUGAUGUGUUCUAGGUUAGGUGAUGUGUUCUAGGUUAGGUGAUGUGUUCUAGUGUCGGGGUCUUGUGGAAGGAGGGGGAUUGGAUUGUCCUAGAUGGAACAUUGUUCCUCCUCCUCAUCAUCCCUUGAAAACUAUCGUCCAUCUGCCCUUCGAGGUGGUUGAAAUCCCACUUGAUUAAAAUGGAUUGGGGGGUGGAUUGGAGGGGGG
Molecule: long non-coding RNA, 392 nt
Organism: Oncorhynchus tshawytscha (Chinook salmon)
Lineage: Eukaryota; Metazoa; Chordata; Actinopteri; Salmoniformes; Salmonidae
Source: Ensembl